This 75-nucleotide transfer RNA is filed under the name Actinomadura physcomitrii. Its description in RNAcentral is "Actinomadura sp. LD22 tRNA-Cys". It matches the Rfam family "tRNA". From Rfam's summary of the family: Transfer RNA (tRNA) molecules are approximately 80 nucleotides in length. Their secondary structure includes four short double-helical elements and three loops (D, anti-codon, and T loops). Lineage: Bacteria; Bacillati; Actinomycetota; Actinomycetes; Streptosporangiales; Thermomonosporaceae. The record is from RNAcentral.
GACGCUGUGGCCGAACGGUUUCCAGGCACCGGAUUGCAGGUCCGGAUCAUGUGGGUUCGACUCCCACCAGCGUCU